RNAcentral lists this ribosomal RNA (407 nucleotides) under uncultured bacterium. RNAcentral describes it as "partial 16S ribosomal RNA". It matches the Rfam family "Bacterial small subunit ribosomal RNA", at positions 30 to 525 of the family's 1533-position model. The record is from RNAcentral.
AUUGAACGCUGGCGGCAGGCCUAACACAUGCAAGUCGCGCGCAGCGUCGGACGGGUCAUUAAUGCCUAGGUAUCUUCCUGUUAGUCAGGUAUAACGUCCGGAAACGGGCGCCAAUACCGCAUACUAUCAGAUCAGCCUAGGUCGGAUUAGCUAGUUGGUUGGGUAAAGGCCUACCAAGGCGACGAUCCGUAACUGGUCGGAGAGGAUGAUCAGUCACACGGGAACUGAGACACGGUCCAGACUCCUACGGGAGGCAGCAGUAGGGAAUUUUGGUCAAUGGGCGAAAGCCUGAGCCAGCCAGGGCGCGUGUGGGAAGAAGGGCUUCGGAUAGUAAAAAGCUUUUAGUUGAGAGGCGUUACCAACAGAAUAGGCAACGGCUAACUACGUGCCAGCAGCCGCGGUAAUUA